AGUGAACGCUGGCGGUAGGCCUAACACAUGCAAGUCGAACGGCAGCACAGUAAGAGCUUGCUCUUACGGGUGGCGAGUGGCGGACGGGUGAGGAAUACAUCGGAAUCUACUUUUUCGUGGGGGAUAACGUAGGGAAACUUACGCUAAUACCGCAUACGACCUACGGGUGAAAGCAGGGGAUCUUCGGACCUUGCGCGACUGAAUGAGCCGAUGUCGGAUUAGCUAGUUGGCGGGGUAAAGGCCCACCAAGGCGACGAUCCGUAGCUGAUCUGAGAGGAUGAUCAGCCACACUGGAACUGAGACACGGUCCAGACUCCUACGGGAGGCAGCAGUGGGGAAUAUUGGGCAAUGGGCGCAAGCCUGAUCCAGCCAUACCGCGUGGGUGAAGAAGGCCUUCGGGUUGUAAAGCCCUUUUGUUGGGAAAGAAAAGCAGCAGGUUAAUACCCCGCUGUUCUGACGGUACCCAAAGAAUAAGCACCGGCUAACUUCGUG
This 492-nucleotide ribosomal RNA is filed under the name uncultured bacterium. RNAcentral describes it as "partial 16S ribosomal RNA". It matches the Rfam family "Bacterial small subunit ribosomal RNA", at positions 29 to 507 of the family's 1533-position model. The record is from RNAcentral.